GUGUCAGCCGCCGCGGUAAUACGGAGGGUGCGAGCGUUAAUCGGAAUUACUGGGCGUAAAGCGCAUGCAGGUGGUUUGUUAAGUCAGAUGUGAAAGCCCGGGGCUCAACCUCGGAAGGUCAUUUGAAACUGGCAAACUAGAGUACUGUAGAGGGGGGUAGAAUUUCAGGUGUAGCGGUGAAAUGCGUAGAGAUCUGAAGGAAUACCAGUGGCGAAGGCGGCCCCCUGGACAGAUACUGACACUCAGAUGCGAAAGCGUGGGGAGCAAACAGGAUUAGAUACCCUGGUAGUCCACGCCGUAAACGAUGUCUACUUGGAGGUUGUGGCCUUGAGCCGUGGCUUUCGGAGCUAACGCGUUAAGUAGACCGCCUGGGGAGUACGGUCGCAAGAUUAAAACUCAAAUAAAUUGACGG
This 412-nucleotide ribosomal RNA is filed under the name uncultured bacterium. Its description in RNAcentral is "bacterial SSU rRNA". It matches the Rfam family "Bacterial small subunit ribosomal RNA", at positions 505 to 916 of the family's 1533-position model. The record is from RNAcentral.